Molecule: transfer RNA, 71 nt
Filed under: Entomophthora muscae
Lineage: Eukaryota; Fungi; Entomophthoromycota; Entomophthoromycetes; Entomophthorales; Entomophthoraceae
Description: tRNA-Thr
Rfam family: tRNA
About the family: Transfer RNA (tRNA) molecules are approximately 80 nucleotides in length. Their secondary structure includes four short double-helical elements and three loops (D, anti-codon, and T loops). Further hydrogen bonds mediate the characteristic L-shaped molecular structure. tRNAs have two regions of fundamental functional importance: the anti-codon, which is responsible for specific mRNA codon recognition, and the 3' end, to which the tRNAs corresponding amino acid is attached (by aminoacyl-tRNA synthetases). tRNAs cope with the degeneracy of the genetic code in two manners: having more than one tRNA (with a specific anti-codon) for a particular amino acid; and 'wobble' base-pairing, i.e. permitting non-standard base-pairing at the 3rd anti-codon position.
Source: RNAcentral
GCCUCUUUAGCUCAGGGGUAGAGCGCUCCCCUAGUAAGGGAAAGGUCAGUGGUUAAAAACGCUAAGAGGUA